GAAGGGGGGACGGAGAAGGCUAUGUUGGCCGGGCGAUGGUUGUCCCGGUUUAAGCGUGUAGGCUGGUUUUCCAGGCAAAUCCGGAAAACCAAGGCUGAGGCGUGAUGACGAGGCACUACGGUGCUGAAGCGACAAAUGCCCUGCUUCCAGGAAAAGCCUCUAAGCAUCAGGUAACAUCAAAUCGUACCCCAAACCGACACAGGUGGUCAGGUAGAGAAUACCAAGGCGCUUGAGAGAACUCGGGUGAAGGAACUAGGCAAAAUGGUGCCGUAACUUCGGGAGAAGGCACGCUGAUAUGUAGGUGAAGUCCCUCGCGGAUGGAGCUGAAAUCAGUCGAAGAUACCAGCUGGCUGCAACUGUUUAUUAAAAACACAGCACUGUGCAAACACGAAAGUGGACGUAUACGGUGUGACGCCUGCCCGGUGCCGGAAGGUUAAUUGAUGGGGUUAGCGGCAACGCGAAGCUCUUGAUCGAAGCCCCGGUAAACGGCGGCCGUAACUAUAACGGUCCUAAGGUAGCGAAAUUCCUUGUCGGGUAAGUUCCGACCUGCACGAAUGGCGUAAUGAUGGCCAGGCUGUCUCCACCCGAGACUCAGUGAAAUUGAACUCGCUGUGAAGAUGCAGUGUACCCGCGGCAAGACGGAAAGACCCCGUGAACCUUUACUAUAGCUUGACACUGAACAUUGAGCCUUGAUGUGUAGGAUAGGUGGGAGGCUUUGAAGUGUGGACGCCAGUCUGCAUGGAGCCGACCUUGAAAUACCACCCUUUAAUGUUUGAUGUUCUAACGUUGGCCCGUAAUCCGGGUUGCGGACAGUGUCUGGUGGGUAGUUUGACUGGGGCGGUCUCCUCCUAAAGAGUAACGGAGGAGCACGAAGGUUGGCUAAUCCUGGUCGGACAUCAGGAGGUUAGUGCAAUGGCAUAAGCCAGCUUGACUGCGAGCGUGACGGCGCGAGCAGGUGCGAAAGCAGGUCAUAGUGAUCCGGUGGUUCUGAAUGGAAGGGCCAUCGCUCAACGGAUAAAAGGUACUCCGGGGAUAACAGGCUGAUACCGCCCAAGAGUUCAUAUCGACGGCGGUGUUUGGCACCUCGAUGUCGGCUCAUCACAUCCUGGGGCUGAAGUAGGUCCCAAGGGUAUGGCUGUUCGCCAUUUAAAGUGGUACGCGAGCUGGGUUUAGAACGUCGUGAGACAGUUCGGUCCCUAUCUGCCGUGGGCGCUGGAGAACUGAGGGGGGCUGCUCCUAGUACGAGAGGACCGGAGUGGACGCAUCACUGGUGUUCGGGUUGUCAUGCCAAUGGCACUGCCCGGUAGCUAAAUGCGGAAGAGAUAAGUGCUGAAAGCAUCUAAGCACGAAACUUGCCCCGAGAUGAGUUCUCCCUGACUCCUUGAGAGUCCUGAAGGAACGUUGAAGACGACGACGUUGAUAGGCCGGGUGUGUAAGCGCAGCGAUGCGUUGAGCUAACCGGUACUAAUGAACCGUGAGGCUUAACCUU
This 1489-nucleotide ribosomal RNA is filed under the name Escherichia coli KTE195. RNAcentral describes it as "bacterial LSU rRNA". It matches the Rfam family "Bacterial large subunit ribosomal RNA", at positions 1463 to 2925 of the family's 2925-position model. Lineage: Bacteria; Pseudomonadati; Pseudomonadota; Gammaproteobacteria; Enterobacterales; Enterobacteriaceae. The record is from RNAcentral.